CUGACAGCAGUAGACAGAAUCAGCAAAAUUCAGAAGAUGUUCAAUAAAAUAAAUUUUAACACUUAAUUUCUUCACAUAACAGCCACAACAAACUAAAAAGAAUAAAAAAGGGAGGGGGAAUCUAUAGAUAAAAGAAGCCUAAGGAACACAUUAAUGAAAUGCAAUGUGUAGACCUUGAUAGGAUCCAAAUUCAAACAAAAUAAAUACAAGAACAGCAACAGAUUAUGGGACUGCCGGAGGAAUGUGAGCACUGAUGACCAGAACAAAUCCUGAUGAAGUCCAAUUUGUUGAAUUACUAUUCUUAUGUGAAUCAUGUUUGUGGUGUCAUGUCUAAGAACUUUUCACCAAGCUAAAUGAAAUAUCCAAAGCUGAGGAUUUGCAAAAUGGAUUUCUUACAUACUUAGAGCUUAAUAAAUUGUGCUACAUACACACUGACCCAUGUAAGUUGGUGAAAUAUUGUACCCAU
This is a long non-coding RNA of Mustela erminea (ermine), 466 nucleotides long. RefSeq lists it as uncharacterized. The record is from RefSeq and is a predicted model, not a curated record. The transcript has 3 exons. Lineage: Eukaryota; Metazoa; Chordata; Mammalia; Carnivora; Mustelidae.